Molecule: ribosomal RNA, 398 nt
Filed under: uncultured bacterium
Lineage: Bacteria
Description: bacterial SSU rRNA
Rfam family: Bacterial small subunit ribosomal RNA
Source: RNAcentral
GAUGAACGCUAGCGGCAGGCCUAAUACAUGCAAGUCGAACGGUAAGGCCCUUUCGGGGGUACACGAGUGGCGGACGGGUGCGUAACGCGUAUGCAACAUGCCUUCCAGCGGGGGAUAUACCAGGGAAACUUGGCGCAAUACCCCAUAGAAUUACGGGACCGCAUGGUCUUGUGAUUAAAACUCCGGUGCUGUGAGAUUGGCAUGCGUGACAUUAGCUAGUUGGUAGGGUAAAGGCCUACCAAGGCGACGAUCUGUAGCUGGUCUGAGAGGAUGGCCAGCCACACUGGAACUGAGACACGGUCCAGACUCCUACGGGAGGCAGCAGUGGGGAAUAUUGGACAAUGGGGGCAACCCUGAUCCAGCCAUGCCGCGUGUGUGAAGAAGGCCUCGGUUGUAAG